GAAAUUUUAGUAAAACAAUUACAUAACUUUGUCAAAGUUAAAUCACAGGUUUAAGUCCUGUAAAUUUCU
Molecule: transfer RNA, 69 nt
Filed under: Loxodonta africana (African savanna elephant)
Lineage: Eukaryota; Metazoa; Chordata; Mammalia; Proboscidea; Elephantidae
Rfam family: tRNA
About the family: Transfer RNA (tRNA) molecules are approximately 80 nucleotides in length. Their secondary structure includes four short double-helical elements and three loops (D, anti-codon, and T loops).
Source: Rfam by way of RNAcentral